GGGCGAAUAGCUCAGCUGGUUAGAGCGCCUGUCUUACACACAGGAAGUCGGGGGUUCGAGUCCCUCUUCGCCCA
This 74-nucleotide transfer RNA is filed under the name Gemmatimonadaceae bacterium. RNAcentral's name for it is "tRNA-Val". It matches the Rfam family "tRNA". Rfam says of the family: Transfer RNA (tRNA) molecules are approximately 80 nucleotides in length. Their secondary structure includes four short double-helical elements and three loops (D, anti-codon, and T loops). The record is from RNAcentral. Lineage: Bacteria; Pseudomonadati; Gemmatimonadota; Gemmatimonadia; Gemmatimonadales; Gemmatimonadaceae. RNAcentral also lists the same sequence under 1 other name.